This 714-nucleotide ribosomal RNA is filed under the name Calliphora vomitoria. RNAcentral's name for it is "eukaryotic LSU rRNA". It matches the Rfam family "Eukaryotic large subunit ribosomal RNA", at positions 72 to 660 of the family's 3401-position model. The record is from RNAcentral. Lineage: Eukaryota; Metazoa; Arthropoda; Insecta; Diptera; Calliphoridae.
GGAUUUUCUUAGUAGCGGCGAGCGAAAAGAAAAUAGUUCAGCACUAAGUCACUUUGUCUUUAUGGCAAAUGUGAGAUGCAGUGUAUGGAAUGUCAAAUUUCUAGUAUGAGAAAUUAACGAUUUAAGUCCUUCUUAAAUGAGACCAUUUACCCAAAGAGGGUGCCAGGCCCGUAUAACGUUAAUGAUUACUAGAUGGCAUUUCCAAAGAGUCGUGUUGCUUGAUAGUGCAGCACUAAGUGGGUGGUAAACUCCAUCUAAAGCUAAAUAUAACCAUGAGACCGAUAGUAAACAAGUACCGUGAGGGAAAGUUGAAAAGAACUCUGAAUAGAGAGUUAAAUAGUACGUGAAACUGCUUAGAGGUUAAGCCCGAUGAACCUGAAUAUCCGUUAUGGAAAAUUCAUCUUUAUGAUUUUAAUAUUUAUAAUAUUAUAAUAAUGGUGUGCAUUUUUUCUAUAAAGGACAUUGUAAUCUAUUAACAUAAAUAUAUUUAUCAUAAGAUCAUUUGCGUAAGUUUAUUCAAAUUAUUUUGCUUGCAUUUUAAUAUCGAAUAAAUGCUUUUGAUUUGAUAAAGUGUUGAUAGAUUUAUUAUAUAUAGUGCUUAAAUAUUUAUAUUUUAUAAUAGCAUAUUGAUCAUUGAUCUUUAUGUUUAUUAUAUGCACUUAUAUGAUUAACAAUGCGAAAGAUUCAGGAUACCUUCGGGACCCGUCUUGAAAC